CUGUGGCUCAGCAUGCUGGUCUGUGUCUCCAUGCUCUGCACCUGCUUCAUCGUCUACAUCUCCCGCAUGGACUGGAGGAAGGCUGCCGAGGAGGUAACCGCACACCACAGCAGCAUGCCCACCCCGCCGGAUGGUCCCCAGCAGCCUCGCUGUGAUCGCAGCGGGCUGGGAUAACAAAACCCAGGGUUCUGCAUCUGGGACCACGGCCACUUCCCUGCACUUGGCUGUUCCCUUAGGCUCAGCACCGUGCAGGAGUGACCCCGCUGCCACCAGAGGAGCCACACCCAGGCCCCGAACCCCCCAGCAAGGCGCUGCCCUCCGGUACAGGACCAACCCCACCGCCCCACGCUCACCUCCCAGCCGCUGCAGUGCGGGGCUGCGUAGCGGGGGUGGAAGCCCAGAACGGCGUGGUGCUCACGGCCAUCACCAGGCUGGAGGGAGCCACCUUUCAGCCGGAGCCCCAGGGAGAGCCACCGGGCAGCACCAUGUCCACCAAGGAGCUAAUCGUCCGGCGUGGGCUGGCAGUGGCUGCAGCCAUCAUCGUGCUUGCGCUUGGCAUCGUAAUAAAACUCAUGACCAGCAACCACUGACUUGCACCUGGGACUCCAGGGACUUUGGGGACGGAGGCCCCUCCUGACUGACGGAUGCACAGAGCACAGACCAGCCAGCAAAAGGAUCCAGCACCCGCAUGUCCCAUCAGAGCAGAUGCGUUCAGCCUUUGGCAGCAUCUCAUCAGAUCCUGCUUGGGGCCAGGCCCUACAGCUGCUCCAACACCCAAAAUGUUGCUCUGGGCUGCCCGACACGCACCGAGCAUGCAGGUAGCCCUUUCCCUGCCCACGCUGCCAACUGCUGCCUGCUGACCAGAGCUGCACAGCCCAGCUCACGCUGCUGCUCUGAAAAAUGCCAAAUAAAGAAUAAACCCAGCUGGGCUCAGGCUGUCUCCUUUGGGUCCUGUGCCUGGCACCUGCUGCCCUGCCCCUCGUAGUCCCAGGCCCCACGUGGCUUUCAUGGUAAAGCAAGGGUUUUAUUCAGCAAGGGUCAGGCUUCCAGUUACAGUCUCAGAGGUAAAAGACUACCAGUACACCAAAAAAACGAAAUGGAAUUAUGCACAAGGUCACCAGCUGCUCAGGCUCUUCCUCAGAGCUGGGUCACUGCAGCUCCCCCUUGCUGGUGCCCAGCUCCAGAUGCUGCACACCAACAGUGCCGGGUCCCUGGCGCUCCUGCGGUCCCCAUCCGUCACACUCAUUUUGUCAGGCUUCUUGCUGCUGUGAGACAGCUUUAUAAAGGGAUCACAGGAGACACGUUACGUAGAUAACGGGCCCAGUAACACGUGGCUUUCCUUUGAUGUGCUUGUGGCAUGAUCCCCCCGCGCCCAAGAGCUUUUCCAUGGGCUCCUGUUUGGAGAGCAGGACAGAGACACUGCCUCCUUCCGCCUGCACUGCUGAGGCAGGACCCAUGGCUUCAGACUGCAUCAGUCCAGCGGACCGAUUACCUCUGCAUUACCUGGGGUUCAUUUGCUUCUGCCUCAUUAGUGGGUCAGAUGCCUUGGAAGAGAAGAAGUUGCAGCAAGAAUAGGAAUGCAGGAUGAGAAUGAUGAGUUACAAGCCCAAUGUGCAGCUGAGUAUAGAGCACCCUUCGUCACGGGAACAUCACCUAAAGGGGCACAGAAACGUGGCUGAGUCUCACAGAGAAGGAACAGAGCCCUGGGGGGCCAUCAGGGAGAUCUGAGGCAAUGGUGGAUGGA
Molecule: long non-coding RNA, 1744 nt
Filed under: Anas zonorhyncha (Eastern spot-billed duck)
Lineage: Eukaryota; Metazoa; Chordata; Aves; Anseriformes; Anatidae
Description: lncRNA (ENSAZOG00000011037.1)
Source: RNAcentral